GAUGAACGCUGGCGGCGUGCCUCAAACAUGCAAGUCGAGCGGGGCUAUGUAAUAUCGCAAGGUAGAACAUAGCCUAGCGGCGAACGGGUGAGUAACACGUGGGUAACCUGCCUGGAAGACAGGGAUAACGAUUCGAAAGGGUCGCUAAUACCUGAUAAUAUCCUUUCAUCGCAUGGUGAUAGGAAGAAAGGGGAAACCCGCUUUCAGAUGGGCCCGCGUCCCAUCAGCUAGUUGGUAAGGUAAAGGCUUACCAAGGCGACGACGGGUAGCCGGUCUGAGAGGAUGUACGGCCACACUGGGACUGAGAUACGGCCCAGACUCCUACGGGAGGCAGCAGUUGGGAAUCUUAGGCAAUGGACGAAAGUCUGACCUAGCGACGCCGCGUGAGGGAAAAGGCCCUUCGGGUUGUAAACCUCUGUCAUGGGGGAAGGAGUAAGUGACGGUACCCAAGAGGAAGCCCCUGCUAACUACGUGCCAGCAGCCGCGGUAAAACCCAUACUCGCGU
This 505-nucleotide ribosomal RNA is filed under the name uncultured bacterium. RNAcentral's name for it is "bacterial SSU rRNA". It matches the Rfam family "Bacterial small subunit ribosomal RNA", at positions 28 to 541 of the family's 1533-position model. The record is from RNAcentral.